RNAcentral lists this ribosomal RNA (304 nucleotides) under uncultured bacterium. Its description in RNAcentral is "partial 16S ribosomal RNA". It matches the Rfam family "Bacterial small subunit ribosomal RNA", at positions 506 to 807 of the family's 1533-position model. The record is from RNAcentral.
CAGCAGUAGCCGCGGUAAUACGUAGGGUGCAAGCGUUAAUCGGAAUUACUGGGCGUAAAGCGUGCGCAGGCGGUCCGUUAAGACAGAUGUGAAAUCCCCGGGCUUAACCUGGGAACUGCAUUUGUGACUGGCGGGCUAGAGUAUGGCAGAGGGGGGUAGAAUUCCACGUGUAGCAGUGAAAUGCGUAGAGAUGUGGAGGAAUACCGAUGGCGAAGGCAGCCCCCUGGGCCAAUACUGACGCUCAUGCACGAAAGCGUGGGGAGCAAACAGGAUUAGAUACCCGAGUAGUCCCUGUCUCUUAUAC